Long non-coding RNA from Brassica napus (rape), 824 nucleotides. RefSeq lists it as uncharacterized. The transcript has 3 exons. The record is from RefSeq and is a predicted model, not a curated record. Lineage: Eukaryota; Viridiplantae; Streptophyta; Magnoliopsida; Brassicales; Brassicaceae.
UAUGUCAUCAUAUCUCAUGUGAACCAUGUGCUCUUACAUAUCAAUAUGAUCAUAUCAUCCCUUGAGCAAUUUCACUUGAUUCAAGCUUGAAAGAAUGAUUGUUGCUCUAACCUAUGGUGAAUAGUUUUAAAGGCAAUAAACUUGAAUCUCCUCCAAAACGUUAAUUAAUCUCUACAGGACUGUGAAUUCUCUUCGAAAUAUUUAAAUUACAUCGAAAAAGCAGUUUCUUUUCCUCCAACCAACUCAAGAGAAAGAAGUGUACAGUUUUUCCACUUAUUAAUCAGUUUUUUUCCGUCAUCUCCGAGCUCUCUCUCUCUCAAUCUCAGACAUCUCAAACUCUCUCGAUCUACCCAUCUCCAAGCUCAACUCACCUCGUCUCAAGCUCAUCUCAUCUCACCUCGUCUCAAGCUUCUUCUCUCAAGCUUCGUCUCUCAAGCUCUCGAAAGCUUCAUCUCUCACUCUUCAAAUCCAGUUCUUGAAGCAUUUGGAAACGCCAAAACUCUUAGGAAUAACAACUCCAGUGCCCUGACACAGAUAAGGUGAGAAGCAAGAUGAUCUAUGCGAGCUCCAACGACAGGUUCAAGAGGGAAUUGGACGGGAUUCAAGUUGAUAACCCAAGGCAUUUUAGCUGUUGCAGUUUCUUGGGUGGGGAGUGAGCUUUGGUGAUAUCAACAACGCAAGUUUUAUAUGGAUCACCAGGGGCGAAGCUAGGAUGUGGGAAGGGGGUGCCUGUGCACCCAUAAUUUGUUUGAAAAUUAAUGUAUUUUUGUACAAAUUUUUGUAUGUGCACCCAUAAUAAUUUAUAACAUGCACCCACAAAAAUA